AGAGUUUGAUCAUGGCUCAGAAUCAACGCUGGCGGCGUGCCUAACACAUGCAAGUCGAACGAGAAAGUGGUAGCAAUACCAUGAGUAAAGUGGCGCACGGGUGAGUAACACGUGACUAACCUACCCUGGAGUGGGGGAUAACUGAGGGAAACCUUAGCUAAUACCGCAUAAUACCCACGGGUCAAAGGAGCAAUUCGCUCUGGGAGGGGGUCGCGGCCGAUUAGUUAGUUGGCGGGGUAAUGGCCCACCAAGACGAUGAUCGGUAUCCGGCCUGAGAGGGCGCACGGACACACUGGAACUGAAACACGGUCCAGACUCCUACGGGAGGCAGCAGUGGGGAAUUUUGCGCAAUGGGGGAAACCCUGACGCAGCAACGCCGCGUGGAGGAUGAAGUCCUUCGGGACGUAAACUCCUUUCGAUCGGGACGAUUAUGACGGUACCGGAAGAAGAAGCCCCGGCUAACUUCGUGCCAGCAGCCGCGGUAAUACGAGGGGGGCGAGCGUUGUUCGGAAUUAUUGGGCGUAAAGGGUGCGUAGGCGGUUUGGUAAGUCUUAUGUGAAAUCUAUGGGCUCAACUCAUAGACUGCAUGAGAAACUGCCGGGCUUGAGUGUGGGAGAGGUGAGUGGAAUUUCCGGUGUAGCGGUGAAAUGCGUAGAUAUCGGAAGGAACACCUGUGGCGAAAGCGGCUCACUGGACCACAACUGACGCUGAUGCACGAAAGCUAGGGGAGCAAACAGGAUUAGAUACCCUAGUAGUCC
Molecule: ribosomal RNA, 758 nt
Filed under: uncultured bacterium
Lineage: Bacteria
Description: bacterial SSU rRNA
Rfam family: Bacterial small subunit ribosomal RNA
Source: RNAcentral